RNAcentral lists this transfer RNA (75 nucleotides) under Bacteroidota bacterium. Its description in RNAcentral is "Bacteroidetes bacterium (marine metagenome) tRNA-Asn". It matches the Rfam family "tRNA". Rfam says of the family: Transfer RNA (tRNA) molecules are approximately 80 nucleotides in length. Their secondary structure includes four short double-helical elements and three loops (D, anti-codon, and T loops). Further hydrogen bonds mediate the characteristic L-shaped molecular structure. tRNAs have two regions of fundamental functional importance: the anti-codon, which is responsible for specific mRNA codon recognition, and the 3' end, to which the tRNAs corresponding amino acid is attached (by aminoacyl-tRNA synthetases). tRNAs cope with the degeneracy of the genetic code in two manners: having more than one tRNA (with a specific anti-codon) for a particular amino acid; and 'wobble' base-pairing, i.e. permitting non-standard base-pairing at the 3rd anti-codon position. RNAcentral also lists the same sequence under 2 other names. Lineage: Bacteria; Pseudomonadati; Bacteroidota. The record is from RNAcentral.
UCCUCGGUAGCUCAGUGGUAGAGCAUUCGGCUGUUAACCGAAAUGUCGUAGGUUCAAAUCCUACCCGGGGAGCCA